GUGCCAGCCGCCGCGGUAAGACGAACCGUCCUAACGUUGUUCGGAAUCACUGGGCUUAAAGGGCGCGUAGGCGGUCGGCAAAGUCAGGGGUGAAAUCUUUCGGCUUAACCGGAAAAGUGCCUUUGAAACUAGUCGACUCGAGGGAGGUAGGGGCAAUUGGAACUUCCGGUGGAGCGGUGAAAUGCGUUGAUAUCGGAAGGAACGCCGGUGGCGAAAGCGAAUUGCUGGACCUCUUCUGACGCUGAGGCGCGAAAGCUAGGGGAGCAAACGGGAUUAGAAACCCCGGUAGUCC
RNAcentral lists this ribosomal RNA (292 nucleotides) under uncultured bacterium. RNAcentral describes it as "partial 16S ribosomal RNA". It matches the Rfam family "Bacterial small subunit ribosomal RNA", at positions 505 to 796 of the family's 1533-position model. The record is from RNAcentral.